RNAcentral lists this transfer RNA (69 nucleotides) under Aeromonas salmonicida subsp. salmonicida. RNAcentral's name for it is "tRNA-Met". It matches the Rfam family "tRNA". Rfam says of the family: Transfer RNA (tRNA) molecules are approximately 80 nucleotides in length. Their secondary structure includes four short double-helical elements and three loops (D, anti-codon, and T loops). Further hydrogen bonds mediate the characteristic L-shaped molecular structure. tRNAs have two regions of fundamental functional importance: the anti-codon, which is responsible for specific mRNA codon recognition, and the 3' end, to which the tRNAs corresponding amino acid is attached (by aminoacyl-tRNA synthetases). tRNAs cope with the degeneracy of the genetic code in two manners: having more than one tRNA (with a specific anti-codon) for a particular amino acid; and 'wobble' base-pairing, i.e. permitting non-standard base-pairing at the 3rd anti-codon position. Lineage: Bacteria; Pseudomonadati; Pseudomonadota; Gammaproteobacteria; Aeromonadales; Aeromonadaceae. The record is from RNAcentral.
CGCGGGGUGGAGUAGCUCAUCGGGCUCAUAACCCGAAGGUCGUCAGUUCAAAUCUGGCCCCCGCAACCA